AAUUUUGUACAAUGGGGGAAACCCUGAUCCAGCCAUCCCGCGUGUAUGAUGAAGGCCNNNGGUUUNUAAAGUACGUUUUGCAGNGACNAAUAGGCAUCCCCUAAUACGGGAUGCUGCUGACGGUAUCUGCAGAAUAAGCACCUGCUAACUACGUGCCAGCAGCCGCGGUACUACGUAGGGUGCAAGCGUUAAUCGGAAUUACUGGGCGUAAAGCAUGUGUAGGCGGUUCGGAAAGAAAGAUGUGAAAUACCAGGGCUCAACCUUGGAACUGCAUUUUUAACUGCCGAGCUAGAGUAAGUCAGAGGGGGGUAGAAUUCCACGUGUAGCAGUGAAAUGCGUAGAUAUGUGGAGGAAUACCGAUGGCGAAGGCAGCCCCCUGGGAUAAUACUGACGCUCAGACACGAAAGCGUGGGGAGCAAACAGG
Molecule: ribosomal RNA, 424 nt
Filed under: uncultured bacterium
Lineage: Bacteria
Description: partial 16S ribosomal RNA
Rfam family: Bacterial small subunit ribosomal RNA
Source: RNAcentral